UUGAGCGUGAAGGAUAACGUUGCGUCAGCAACGGCCCGAAGGGCGAGGCGAAGCCGAGUCAUCCUGCACGACCCACCA
RNAcentral lists this small RNA (78 nucleotides) under Salmonella enterica subsp. enterica serovar Agona. RNAcentral describes it as "partial RtT sRNA". It matches the Rfam family "RtT RNA", at positions 48 to 130 of the family's 130-position model. Rfam says of the family: This family represents a bacterial cis-regulatory element known as RtT RNA. The exact function of RtT is unknown although it is thought that it may be involved in changing the cellular response in relation to amino acid starvation. RNAcentral also lists the same sequence under 2 other names. Lineage: Bacteria; Pseudomonadati; Pseudomonadota; Gammaproteobacteria; Enterobacterales; Enterobacteriaceae. The record is from RNAcentral.